RNAcentral lists this ribosomal RNA (253 nucleotides) under uncultured bacterium. RNAcentral's name for it is "partial 16S ribosomal RNA". It matches the Rfam family "Bacterial small subunit ribosomal RNA", at positions 524 to 776 of the family's 1533-position model. The record is from RNAcentral.
UACGUAGGGGGCUAGCGUUGUCCGGAAUCAUUGGGCGUAAAGCGCGUGUAGGCGGUUCGGUAAGUCCGCUGUGAAAGUCGGGGGCUCAACCCUCGAAAGCCGGUGGAUACUGUCGGACUAGAGUACGGAAGAGGCGAGUGGAAUUCCUGGUGUAGCGGUGAAAUGCGCAGAUAUCAGGAGGAACACCGAUGGCGAAGGCAGGUCUCUGGGCCACUACUGACGCUGAGAAGCGAAAGCAUGGGGAGCGAACAGG